This 413-nucleotide long non-coding RNA is filed under the name Carica papaya (papaya). Its description in RNAcentral is "long non-coding RNA (CPAP_LNC003969)". Lineage: Eukaryota; Viridiplantae; Streptophyta; Magnoliopsida; Brassicales; Caricaceae. The record is from RNAcentral.
UACUUCUGCUUCUCUAACCUGAAGCAACUUUAGGAUUUCUUUCAUGGAUUUUUGCUUAACCUCGAUAUUGGAAGUUUGAUGUGGUACAGGUACACGAGUCGCUAGGAAUAGGGCUUGGGACUGUCUACGCAGUGCAAACCACUAGGACAGAGCCCCAGCCUAUUGUUUUCCAGCAUGUUUGGGUGGAUUAAAAAUUCCUUGAUUUUCAUUUAUCAAUUCCAUUGCAUGUUGAUAUUCUAUUGUGUGCAAUUCAAUUUGUGUUUGCAUAUUUUAUUGCAUGCGGCUAUCGGGACUAGUGAUGUGAAAGGUAAACUUUAAAUAUGCACUAAUGAAACUAAAACGCGAUAAAUAAAUUAAUUGAGUAAAGAGGAUGGCUAAUGAGAUAGUAGAUUACAUUAAGCUUGAGAGAUUAG